GAACGCACCUUGCGCCCCUUGGUCAUUCCGAAGGGCAUGCCUGUUUGAGUAUCAUGAACACCUCAACUCUUGUGGUUUCCCACAACGAGCUUGGACUGUGGAGGUUUUGUUGGCCCUGUGGUCGGCUCCUCUCAAAUGGAUCAGCUUGCCGGUGUUUGGUGGUGUUACGGGUGUGAUAAUUAUCUGCGCUCGUGGUCGCCUCCAAAUGACCUCCAGUGAUGGAGGUCCACUGGAGCUCAUAAAUGUCUCUCCCCAGUGAAGACAGCCUUUGAACGUUCGAUCUCAAAUCAGGUAGGACUACCCGCUGAACUUA
This 313-nucleotide unclassified non-coding RNA is filed under the name uncultured Tomentella. RNAcentral describes it as "sequence contains 5.8S rRNA gene". The record is from RNAcentral. Lineage: Eukaryota; Fungi; Basidiomycota; Agaricomycetes; Thelephorales; Thelephoraceae.